CUCUAUAAUAAUAGCCUACUCUACGUCCAAUACCAACUAGUAUUGGAGACUUACUUUUAUUUCUUUAAAAGACUCUUGUUACAAAUUAGAUUCUAUAAAACUGAAUUACAAUAAUUCACUUGAGCACUCUUGCUCCUUGUGCACCAAUGCACCCCUUAAGCACCUAUGCUUCCUUGAACCUGUUUGUAAACAAACCUUAAUCCACCUGGAUUAAAUUCCUUUAGACAACACUUAGUCUAAAAAAUUAAGAUUACAAUAAUAGAGGUCUAAUGAUCAAAGCAAAUAAACAAUUUAACAAUGCAAGGCUCAACUAAUGAAUGCAAUGAUCAAGUAGAAAGAGUAAAAGAUAUCACCAAUAUUAUGCCCACGAAAAUUGCUGAUAAUUAAUCUGAGUAUAAAAGCACAACAGCUGGAAAUUUUGCACUGAAAAUAAUGAAAUAACUUCUCAAGUACGUAAGUGCAAUAAUUCAAGCGAUGUAAGUGUUGUGUUUUCUACUGAAAUCAAUUCUUCUUUUUAUAGCCCAAAAAAAAAUAACCGUUGUGAAAAUAUUUUCGUUGCUAAUUUGUUCCGUUAUAACCAACAGAUUCAAAGAGAUAAAUAACAUUCCAAUAUUAUUCCCGUUAAUGGCUAAGAAAUAUCAAAAAUCAAUUAUCUUCGGUAGUUACAAAGAUGUGUUGGACUCUUUCAAUAAUAAUCCAAAAUUGAGUAAGUCAGAUACAACAAGUACUUCAAGAUUUUUUAAUUCCCAUAAAGUCUGCGGCCAACUGUUAUCAUGAUAGUAACGUAACAAAUUCCAACUCUUCAAGGAUAAUCAUGAUUUCCUAUUUCCAAGGUAUGUGCUAAUUAAAACUCUACCGCCAUAUAUAAUACUAUUUACCAAGAUAUGUGCAAUUAAACUUCUAACAAAUAAUGAUCACACCUCAGUCGGCACAAACACCUUUUAAGUUACCAGCACAUGUAAAACUCAAUUUAUUUGGACAAAAUUUUUACGCAUGCAUGCUAACAAAAUAAGAGAAGUUCUCUUAAUAACAAAUAGCAAUGAAUAACAUAUUUUAGACAUGCACAUUUAAUUCACAUUUUAAUGCACACAUAAAAUGUCCUAGAGCCUUGUAUUGAAAAAUUAAAUAUUUGCAAUGACCUUACAUAUUUUGCUUAAGACCCAAAUCUGCCUUUAAUCUUCUUGAAUAAUCCAUCAAGCAAUUCUCCUGAAAUUCACAAUAAAGAAUUUAGUACCAAUGAACAAGUCAUCAUCAAAACAUUAGGUUAUUUGAACGUGAUAUAAUCAACAGAUGGCAUGAAAUAAAGAUCCCAACUGCUGCCCACGACAGCAGCAACAGCUAUGUAUAACAUUAAUUGGGGCUUCCCUUGAUGCUCUAGAUUAGCACUGUUAGACUUCUAAGUCUGCCCAAGUAAUAUUUCUCCGCAAUAAGGGUAUAUACUAGUAUGUAAUACCCAAGACUUAGUGCAAAAAGGGUCGAGAAGGAGGAGAAUAAGGUGAAAGGAGUUGUUGCCCAGUGGCAGCAGCAUGUACCAGCAGCAGUGAACAUGAUGGUUAUGGGCUGGGAGCUUUAUUUGGUUUUCAGUUGGUACGCUUAUAUGCCUAUAGAUGCUCAAUUGCUGGGUCUUUAUUAUAAGCUAAAGUAUCAUCUAUUUUGGAUUUUAAAAUCAAAGCUAUGCAUGUUAAAUGUUAUGAAAAAGGUUAGUCAAAACUCAUGUAUUGCACAACCAUGCUAUUUUGUUAACUAGGUUGUCAAACCGGGCUUUCUUGUAGAAUUUAAAGAACCUAUUAUGGGCUGCUUUGAACUAAAGCUAGAAAUCUUGCAUUAAUGUUUUAAACCAUGAACAUAUAGUAUAUUGCAGGUUCAUGUUGUAAUAAUGCAUAUACUUGAAUGUUGGGAACUGUUUUGGGGAAAUGGUGCUAAGUCAUGCGUAUAAUGCUUAGAUAAAGGCUGUUUUGGGUAUGGAGAGAUUGAGCUCAGUUUUCAAACAUACUAGAGUAUGUGUUUAUGAGUUUUCAUGGUGAUUUAAGGUUUAUAGGAAUGCUUAAAGACCAUAUGUGUUCUAUUGUGGAUUGUUGGAGAUUUGGUAGCCAAAACUGUGCCUAUAAGGGACUGUUAUGGCCAAUUUGUGCAACAUAUAUUGUUAGACAGUGAGGUGUACAUACAUUGCCUAUAAAUAACAUGUAAAAAUGGUUCCCUAUGUUAGUUAAGGUCUACAAAAAAGUGAGUUGUGUAAUUUCAUGCUUAAAAAGAAAUGAAAAUAAGCUUUACAGAACAAUGAACACUAAAAUAAUGAACCGCCAUACCUGGACCCCAUACAAAAGUUUCAAUAGUCAUAAUAGGACAUGAGAAAGUUACACAAACUAAAGGAACCAAGCCUAAACCAUUUUGAGCACGAGACUUGUUAAAAAUCACAUUUUGAAAGCCAAAAGAGGACUUUUUUGGGCAAUUCAUAGUACCUGAACGUAAGGGAUUGUUAUGAGCUUAUAUAAAGUUUCUCAUACAUGCUAGUAAUGAUUCACAAACAUGGUCAUGACUAAAUCUAGCAAGAAAACCAAUUUAAGAUCUCUUUUUCAAGCCUAAAGUUGAUAGGUCAAAAUGGGCUAGAUGAUUAAAUAAGGUGUGGUGAUGCUAAAAAUAUCCUUAAAUAACUUAACUAGACAUGCCUAGACUAUCCUAGUGGCCAAAACUAUAAAACUUUGGAAAGAGUUCAAAAACAGUCUUGUAAAUAAAGUAAGAAAACUGCUAAGUUUGAGCCCUAUUUUGGGAAGCUUAAUGGGCAUGAACAAGAAACCUAAACCUUGAUUAAAAUACCUUAAAGUAUGGUCUAGAAGUAGGGCCAAGUGGUUAAACUCUUGGCUUAACCAAGAAGUUUAAACAAAUCACCAAACUAGCAUGGAAAAUCACUAAAACUGCAGUUUUUGCAAAUUUGUGUAAGUAUAAAAAUUUGAGAUUUUUCCAUUUGGCCUAGAACUCAGUUUGGACACCUUAGACAAAUAAGUUAGAGUUAUGCUAGGCUAUUCCAAGCGUUGGAAUGCUAAUGUAUAUAAGAACUUGAGAAGUUAGUGUGUAAAAGCUUGAAAAAGCUCGGUUUGUAGGGUCAAAACCCAAUCUAUGCUUAGUAAACUUAAAUGAAUGCUAGAACUAAUCCUAACUAGAUAUAAUUCAAGUGUUGGAAUGAACCAAAGUGGCUAGAAAUGAAAUUGGCAAGAAUUAACCAAAACUAGUAAACUCAAAACUAUGAAUAGUGGCCUAGUUUGGGCAUUAGUUUCAAGAAACAUAAAGAGGCUUACCUAGAAAUCUAAACCAACACAAAAUACCACAGUUAAUGGUAUUGAGAUUGGCAGAAAUAAGGUACACACCUUAUUCAGAAUCCAAGAUCAAAACUCGGCAAUUUGUCAGUUACAUGCUUGUUGGGACUCUUCCAUUCAACAUCACAAGGGUCUGAAGCUUCAUUACAUCUUGAACCGAUUCCAAUGUCAUCUGCACAAGCCUACACCGAAAGAAUUGCAAAUAGGA
Molecule: long non-coding RNA, 3519 nt
Filed under: Panax ginseng (ginseng)
Lineage: Eukaryota; Viridiplantae; Streptophyta; Magnoliopsida; Apiales; Araliaceae
Description: long non-coding RNA (PGIN_LNC009574)
Source: RNAcentral